Molecule: ribosomal RNA, 252 nt
Filed under: uncultured bacterium
Lineage: Bacteria
Description: partial 16S ribosomal RNA
Rfam family: Bacterial small subunit ribosomal RNA
Source: RNAcentral
UACGGGGGGUGCGAGCGUUGUCCGGAUUCACUGGGCGUAAAGGGCGCGUAGGCGGCUUGAUCAGUCCAAUCUGUAAGUGCGGGGCUCACCCCCGUGAUGGGUUGGGGACGGUUGGGCUGGGGCGCGGCAGAGGGGGACGGAAUGCCGGGUGUAGUGGUGAAAUGCGUAGAGAUCCGGCGGAACACCGGUGGUGAAGACGGUUCCCUUGGCCGAGGCCGACGCUGAGGCGCGAGAGCGUGGGGAGCGAACCGG